GAUGAACGCUGGCGGCGUGCCUAACACAUGCAAGUCGAACGAACAGACGCGGCUCUUGUUGCUCUCACGUUAGCCGCGCGCGGGAGACUCACACGUGGAUACCCCCCCUAUCUGUCUGGGAUAACUACGAGACAGCGGCGCUAAUACCAGAUGAUAUCUUGCACCGGAGGGUGCGAUAGUGAAUGACGGUUUUGCUGGAGCUUCUAGAUGGUUCCGGGCCGCUUUGGCUGGUAGGUACGGUAACGGCUUACCACGGCAACGCUGCGUAGCCGACCUGAGAGAGGGAUCGGCGACACUGGAACUGGGACACGGUCCAGACUCCUACGGGAGGCAGCAGUAGGCAAUCGUCCGCAACAGGCGAAAGCUUGACGGAGCAACGCCGCGUGGGUGAUGAAGGUCUUCGGAUCGUAAAGCUCUGUUAUUAGGGAAGAACAACUGUGUAAGGAACUAUAGACGUCUUGACGGUACCUGAUCAAAAAGCAACGGCUAACUACGUG
RNAcentral lists this ribosomal RNA (497 nucleotides) under uncultured bacterium. RNAcentral describes it as "partial 16S ribosomal RNA". It matches the Rfam family "Bacterial small subunit ribosomal RNA", at positions 28 to 507 of the family's 1533-position model. The record is from RNAcentral.